This 82-nucleotide transfer RNA is filed under the name Pachysolen tannophilus NRRL Y-2460. It matches the Rfam family "tRNA". From Rfam's summary of the family: Transfer RNA (tRNA) molecules are approximately 80 nucleotides in length. Their secondary structure includes four short double-helical elements and three loops (D, anti-codon, and T loops). The record is from Rfam by way of RNAcentral. Lineage: Eukaryota; Fungi; Ascomycota; Pichiomycetes; Alaninales; Pachysolenaceae.
GGAUGAGUGGCCGAGGGGUCUAAGGCGUCUGACUCAAGUUCAGAUCUCGCAAGAGGCGCGAGUUCGAAUCUCGUCUCAUUCA